GCCGAAGUGGUGGAACGGCAGACACGCUCGACUCAAAAUCGAGUGCUUCGGCGUGCGGGUUCAAAUCCCGCCUUCGGCA
This 79-nucleotide transfer RNA is filed under the name Clostridia bacterium. RNAcentral describes it as "tRNA-Leu". It matches the Rfam family "tRNA". Rfam says of the family: Transfer RNA (tRNA) molecules are approximately 80 nucleotides in length. Lineage: Bacteria; Bacillati; Bacillota; Clostridia. The record is from RNAcentral.